GAGAGGAUAGCUCAGUGGUAAAAAGUGUGUGUUUAGCAUGCACGAGGUCCUGGGUUCAAUUUCUAGUACUUUUG
Molecule: transfer RNA, 74 nt
Filed under: Camelus bactrianus (Bactrian camel)
Lineage: Eukaryota; Metazoa; Chordata; Mammalia; Artiodactyla; Camelidae
Also listed under: 1 other name
Rfam family: tRNA
About the family: Transfer RNA (tRNA) molecules are approximately 80 nucleotides in length. Their secondary structure includes four short double-helical elements and three loops (D, anti-codon, and T loops).
Source: Rfam by way of RNAcentral